This 639-nucleotide ribosomal RNA is filed under the name uncultured bacterium. RNAcentral describes it as "bacterial SSU rRNA". It matches the Rfam family "Bacterial small subunit ribosomal RNA", at positions 232 to 885 of the family's 1533-position model. The record is from RNAcentral.
CGCGGCCUAUCAGCUUGUUGGUGGGGUAAUGGCCUACCAAGGCGUCGACGGGUAGCUGGUCUGAGAGGAUGAUCAGCCACACUGGGACUGAGACACGGCCCAGACUCCUACGGGAGGCAGCAGUGGGGAAUCUUGCGCAAUGGGCGAAAGCCUGACGCAGCAACGCCGCGUGCGGGAAGAAGGCCUUCGGGUUGUAAACCGCUUUCAGCAGGAACGAAAAUGACGGUACCUGCAGAAGAAGGUGCGGCCAACUACGUGCCAGCAGCCGCGGUGACACGUAGGCACCAAGCGUUGUCCGGAUUUAUUGGGCGUAAAGAGCUCGUAGGCGGUUCAGUAAGUCGGGUGUGAAAACUCUGGGCUUAACCCAGAGCCGCCACCCGAUACUGCUGUGACUAGAGUCCGGUAGGGGAGUGGGGAAUUCCUAGUGUAGCGGUGAAAUGCGCAGAUAUUAGGAGGAACACCGAUGGCGAAGGCAGGUCUCUGGGCCACUACUGACGCUGAGAAGCGAAAGCAUGGGGAGCGAACAGGAUUAGAUACCCUGGUAGUCCAUGCCGUAAACGGUGGGAACUAGGUGUGGGCCUCAUUCCACGAGGUCCGUGCCGCAGCUAACGCAUUAAGUUCCCCGCCUGGGGAGUACGG